UAUGGUUCAAGUCUCCAGUUUAUCUUUCAUCACCUGGUCUGAUUCUUGUAAACAUCUCCCGAUCUAGUUGAAGAAUUUCAACAUGUAAACUCGAAAAUUGAUGGAAAAUGAAAACGACAUGCUAGUGUGGUAGCCAUCCUCUUCAGAUGAGUUAUAUUUACAGCAAUAAAACUGUAAAAAUGCAGCUCAAGAAGUAAUACAACAUUCAUUUCAAUCAACAACUUGUUGUAUACAACGGCAAGUAGAUACUAUGCAGAAUUUGUUGUUACAAGAGAG
This 276-nucleotide long non-coding RNA is filed under the name Solanum tuberosum (potato). RNAcentral describes it as "long non-coding RNA (STUB_LNC011756)". The record is from RNAcentral. Lineage: Eukaryota; Viridiplantae; Streptophyta; Magnoliopsida; Solanales; Solanaceae.